Molecule: ribosomal RNA, 339 nt
Filed under: Triticum aestivum (bread wheat)
Lineage: Eukaryota; Viridiplantae; Streptophyta; Magnoliopsida; Poales; Poaceae
Description: partial small subunit ribosomal RNA
Source: RNAcentral
AUGUGGAGAGAAGGAGCAGCAGCAGUUUUGGGCGUGGGGAAGAGAAGAGAAGAAGCGAGGGAAGGAGAAGAGCAGCAGGAGGGGCGUGGGAGAAGAAGCAGCAGGGAGGAGAGAGUCGCGCAGGCAGCCAGACGCCCGUCUGAUGGGUCGCGCAAUGUAGCGCUUGGUGCUGAUGGCGGCGGUGACUGGAGAUGGUGGACGCUGGUGAUGGCGGGCGUUGGUGGAUGGAGGCUGCUGGCGCUGAUGGAUGGAUGGGUCGCGGAGUGGUGGAUGGAGAUGGAUGAUGAGGCGGGAGGCGCACCACCACGCCGGCCUGGCCGUGCCGGCGGCCGGAGGUGA